Molecule: long non-coding RNA, 139 nt
Organism: Spea bombifrons (plains spadefoot toad)
Lineage: Eukaryota; Metazoa; Chordata; Amphibia; Anura; Pelobatidae
Exons: 2
Source: RefSeq, a predicted model, not a curated record
GAAAAAACAGACCGCCGGAUGAAGAGUCCCUCCGCGGCUUAACUUCCUUGGUAAGUCCAUCAAUUUCCAGUCUCCAAGAACAGGAGAGUGAAGAAAGAAUUGAAAGGAAACCUAAAACAUCCAGCAGUUUCUUUCGCAA